Non-coding RNA from Limulus polyphemus (Atlantic horseshoe crab), 66 nucleotides. Lineage: Eukaryota; Metazoa; Arthropoda; Merostomata; Xiphosura; Limulidae. The record is from the annotation of a RefSeq genome assembly.
AUUUCUAUGGUGUAAUCAACACUUAAUAUUUUCAUUAUUAAAAUGGGUAAUUUUUCCCUAGAAAUA